ACGUAGGUGGCAAGCGUUGUCCGGAUUUAUUGGGCGUAAAGCGAGCGCAGGCGGUUUCUUAAGUCUGAUGUGAAAUCCCACGGCUCAACCGUGGGAGGUCAUUGGAAACUGGGGAACUUGAGGGCAGAAGAGGAGAGUGGAAUUCCAUGUGUAGCGGUGAAAUGCGUAAAUAUAGGGAGGACCACCAGUGGCGAAGGCGACUCACUGGUCUGAACCUGACGCUGAGGAACGAAAGCGAGGGGAGCAAACAG
RNAcentral lists this ribosomal RNA (251 nucleotides) under uncultured prokaryote. RNAcentral's name for it is "partial 16S rRNA". It matches the Rfam family "Bacterial small subunit ribosomal RNA", at positions 525 to 775 of the family's 1533-position model. The record is from RNAcentral.